This 465-nucleotide ribosomal RNA is filed under the name uncultured bacterium. RNAcentral's name for it is "partial 16S ribosomal RNA". It matches the Rfam family "Bacterial small subunit ribosomal RNA", at positions 28 to 506 of the family's 1533-position model. The record is from RNAcentral.
GACGAACGCUGGCGGCGUGCUUAACACAUGCAAGUCGAACGGAAAGGCCCAGCUUGCUGGGUACUCGAGUGGCGAACGGGUGAGUAACACGUGGGUGAUCUGCCCCUGACUUUGGGAUAAGCCUGGGAAACUGGGUCUAAUACCGGAUAUGACCUUACAUCGCAUGGUGUUUGGUGGAAAGCUUUUGCGGUUGGGGAUGGGCCCGCGGCCUAUCAGCUUGUUGGUGGGGUAAUGGCCUACCAAGGCGACGACGGGUAGCCGACCUGAGAGGGUGAUCGGCCACACUGGGACUGAGACACGGCCCAGACUCCUACGGGAGGCAGCAGUGGGGAAUAUUGCACAAUGGGCGCAGGCCUGAUGCAGCGACGCCGCGUGAGGGAUGACGGCCUUCGGGUUGUAAACCUCUUUCACCAGGGACGAAGCGUGAGUGACGGUACCUGGAGAAGAAGCACCGGCCAACUACGU